ACCAGCCAGGCCUGUAACCACGCCCCCUCACUACGCAACCAAGAUGGCGGCACGGCGUGUUUGAUGUGAUGGGGGAGAGUUUUUAUUUUUUUUAUUGUUUUUUAGUUAUUGUUUGACGUUUUUCUAGUGCGGUUCCAGCUUGGUGCUUUUUAAGAGUUUCAGCAAGAGAAGAAACGGCGGGUUUGAAGCAAGAAUCCGCGUCGUAGCUUGAGUUGAGUUGAGGUGUUGCGAGUCCAGUGUCGCUGCGGUUUGCUCGAGGGAUGAAGGAUUGCGCUCCAUCGACGCGCAGCAAGGGUUGGUUGAGGAUGAGGCCCUGAUCUGAAGAGGCUGGGUUUGGCUCGAUGGGAACUGAAGAGAGUGGUCCUGUCCCAUGUUCCCUCCCCUUAAUAAAAGUGGUUGUGGUGUGUUGGCUCAUCAUUGUUUCCUUCUCUCUUUGCAAAUGUCUUUUCCUAAGAGCUCCAGCAGUUCAGUCCUCCUUCUCUAUAAAAGGAGGAAAGAGAAAAGGGAGGGAAAGGUAGAUAG
Acipenser ruthenus (sterlet) is the source of this 522-nucleotide long non-coding RNA. RefSeq lists it as uncharacterized. NCBI's taxonomy places the organism in Eukaryota, Metazoa, Chordata, Actinopteri, Acipenseriformes, Acipenseridae. The transcript has 3 exons. The record is from RefSeq and is a predicted model, not a curated record.